This is a non-coding RNA of Ictidomys tridecemlineatus (thirteen-lined ground squirrel), 72 nucleotides long. The record is from Rfam. NCBI's taxonomy places the organism in Eukaryota, Metazoa, Chordata, Mammalia, Rodentia, Sciuridae.
UGGGUUGUGGCUCAGUGGUAGAGCACUUGCCUAGAAUGCAUGAAGCACUGAGUUCAAUCCUCAGCACCACAU